UACAGAGGGUGCAAGCGUUAAUCGGAAUUACUGGGCGUAAAGCGUGCGUAGACGGUUAUGUAAGUCAGGUGUGAAAUCCCCGGGCUCAACCUGGGAACUGCAUUUGUGACUGCAUGGCUAGAGUACGGUAGAGGGGGAUGGAAUUCCGCGUGUAGCAGUGAAAUGCGUAGAUAUGCGGAGGAACACCGAUGGCGAAGGCAAUCCCCUGGACCUGUACUGACGCUCAUGCACGAAAGCGUGGGGAGCAAACAGG
This 253-nucleotide ribosomal RNA is filed under the name uncultured bacterium. RNAcentral describes it as "partial 16S ribosomal RNA". It matches the Rfam family "Bacterial small subunit ribosomal RNA", at positions 524 to 776 of the family's 1533-position model. The record is from RNAcentral.